UCUGGUCAGAACGAACGCUGGCGGCGCGCUUAAGCAUGCAAGUCGAACGGCAAGAGGUAGCAAUACCUCCUAGAGUGGCGGACUGGUGAGUAACACGUGGGUGACAUACCCUUCAGAUGGGGAUAGCUAUUAGAAAUAGUAGAUAAUACCGAAUACGAGCACAGGGGUUAGAGAUCUGUGAGGAAAGGAGCUAAGGCUCCGCUGAAGGAAUGGCCUGCGGCCCAUUAGCUAGUUGGUGAGGUAAGAGCCCACCAAGGCGAUGAUGGGUAUCCGGCCUUAGAGGGUGAACGGACACAUUGGGACUGAGAUACGGCCCAGACUCCUACGGGAGGCAGCAGCUAAGAAUAUUCCGCAAUGGACGAAAGUCUGACGGAGCGACGCCGCGUGGAUGAAGAAGGCCGGAAGGUUGUAAAAUCCUUUUGAAACUGAAGAAUAAGCGUUGUAGGGAAUGACAGCGUGGUGACAGUAGGUUUUGAAUAAGCAACGGCUAAUUACGUGCCAGCAGCAGC
This 509-nucleotide ribosomal RNA is filed under the name uncultured bacterium. RNAcentral's name for it is "bacterial SSU rRNA". It matches the Rfam family "Bacterial small subunit ribosomal RNA", at positions 19 to 518 of the family's 1533-position model. The record is from RNAcentral.